AGCUUUGCGCAGUGGCAGGAUCGUAGCCAAUGAGGUUUAUCCAAGGCACGAUUAUUGCUAAUUAAAAACUUCUCCCAAGAAAUUAGCAACUUUAAAUAAUUCUUCUAUGUCUAGA
Molecule: small nuclear RNA, 115 nt
Filed under: Cebus imitator (Panamanian white-faced capuchin)
Lineage: Eukaryota; Metazoa; Chordata; Mammalia; Primates; Cebidae
Description: U4 spliceosomal RNA (ENSCCAG00000004383.1)
Rfam family: U4 spliceosomal RNA
About the family: U4 small nuclear RNA (U4 snRNA) is a component of the major U2-dependent spliceosome. The structure of U4 snRNA from yeast and human has been reported.
Source: Rfam by way of RNAcentral